This 378-nucleotide long non-coding RNA is filed under the name Pan troglodytes (chimpanzee). Its description in RNAcentral is "long non-coding RNA NONPTRT007678". The record is from RNAcentral. Lineage: Eukaryota; Metazoa; Chordata; Mammalia; Primates; Hominidae.
AGGCUCUAAGAAGCUUUUGCAAGAAAGGCCCACUAUUCUCAACCAAAAGUGCUCUCUACGCUCUACUUAUUUCCUUGGAAGCUCCUUCCUCCUGGCAGUUCAGUAACAUUUCCCUAAGGGUGAGCAAUCUGGAACCUGAGAGUGGGUUUCUAUUUCUUUUUAAGAAAAAGAAAAAGAUUACAGAAUUCCUUCAUCUCUGAAGACAAAAUUAAAUUCAGUUGCAAUGUCAUCAAUUCACGGGAAAUAAUAGGACAGAUCUGUCAUUUCAUCCAAAUUUCCUGUGCCUGCUUGUUUAUUUUUUUCCGGCAGAAUUUUUUGAUCUCCUGUUCGCUCUAUACAAUCAUAAUGGAAUAUUGAUUGGCCCACUAAGAAUUAACU